This 344-nucleotide long non-coding RNA is filed under the name Fukomys damarensis (Damara mole-rat). RNAcentral describes it as "lncRNA (ENSFDAG00000028871.1)". The record is from RNAcentral. Lineage: Eukaryota; Metazoa; Chordata; Mammalia; Rodentia; Bathyergidae.
CAUCACAGUUACUAAUUCUUUUAUUUGUAGGUGGAUUGGGAUGAGGAAACAGUGGAUAUCUAGUACCUGUGGCAGCUGGAUGAUAUCAGGAUGUUAAUAAUUAUACAGAUUAUAAAGUUAUUUAAAACUGCUCUGGAAAAAAGAAAACAACAUGUUCAGGACAGCCAACUUUCAACCUGAGAGUGUAUGCGGUAUAAUCAGUUCCUCCCCCAUUGUUACUGAUAAACAGGCUCUCCAACCAACGCUGUUCUGGAAAGAGACACACCUGCAACUGAAAGCAAUUUUUGUGGAUGCGUUUACUAAGAAAUGGAAAUGGCCCCAAAUCAUCAGAGUUCAGAAGAAGA